Pelobates cultripes (western spadefoot toad) is the source of this 1252-nucleotide non-coding RNA. The record is from the annotation of a GenBank genome assembly. NCBI's taxonomy places the organism in Eukaryota, Metazoa, Chordata, Amphibia, Anura, Pelobatidae.
UAUGUACACACUGUUAUAUCUGGUAAAAUAUAUUAGUGCAAAGCUGCAGCCUUCCUGUGAUCCCACCAACUCAUUUUAAUAUGACAAUAAUGUUAAAACAUAGCUUCUUAUUCUGAAAUGAACACAAGUAAAUAUGUUUUAAUGUAUAUGUAAACAUUAUGGAACUUGGUUAUUUUAACUUGUAUCUCUGCAAAAUGUGUGUAUUUUAUAAUAGACUGGGGGCUGACAUUCUCAUCUGAGAAUUCUUGGUGAUAGAACAUGAUUUGAAUUACAGCUGUAUUCUGAUUGGAUGAAAUCAAUCAAGCAUCCAAUCAGAAAACAGCUCAAUAUAAAACAUGUCUCCUUCCAUUUUGUUUCUCCCUGCAGCUCAUUGCAUGCUUUCUCAAAAUGAAGCCCUACUUGCUAAAGUAAAAUGCACAGCAGGUAACUUUCACAAUGUUUACAUAUUUAUGUGAUACUUCUCCCCUUAAACAGGGGAGUUUGAAUAGACAAUACAUGAUGCGUUUUGUAUCAGAAUCAUUCAUUUAAAGUGAUUAUCCGUUCACUCUUUCCAAUACUCACGUAUGGGUUUUAUUUACUACAGACUGAGUUAUGGCACAUCCAAGUUGCAAAGUUUAGCUGCAUUGCACUCAUAAUGAGGUAAACAUGGCUGCUCUUUGUAUCAGAGCAAUGUGUCCCACACCAUUCUGUCACAUAGUGGGUUAAAUAUUGCCACCUUGCACAGUACAUGUGGAAAAAAACCCAUACACAAAAGAAAUGCAUAGUGCGCGUAUGUAUACAUCUACGUAAAUAAUUAAUAUAUAUAUAUAUUUAAAUACAUCUUAAUUUGUAGAUUUUAUUAUUCACACACUUUGCGCCACCCUGUUUUUUUACACAGAAUCUUCUUCGUAAAUGUAAUAUAUGAAGCCUCUUGUGGGGUUUACCUAUUUUUAUACUCUGAUAUAUUUGGCAGCACAAUCACCUUACAGUGAGAAACCUAACAAGCGCUUCAUAGUUUAAUAUUUGGAAUGUAGGUUUCACAAGUCACUUGUAGUAAUGUGCCUCUUUGUCCAGGCUAUUAGCAUGACAUUAUUCCAGCCAAACAAUAAGCAUUUUUUUUUAAGUAUGUAUGGAACUGCACUCACUCCCAUCAGUCAGAGCCAGGGUGCUUUCUGUACCGGAACCAAACACCAAAUUCCCAGAUUAGUAGAAUAAAAUAAAAGAGGUCCAGGCACUCCUUGGUUCAAGACAGGCACUUUAUUGGAACCACAGG